This 688-nucleotide ribosomal RNA is filed under the name Enterobacter sp. RA18. Its description in RNAcentral is "bacterial SSU rRNA". It matches the Rfam family "Bacterial small subunit ribosomal RNA", at positions 65 to 743 of the family's 1533-position model. Lineage: Bacteria; Pseudomonadati; Pseudomonadota; Gammaproteobacteria; Enterobacterales; Enterobacteriaceae. The record is from RNAcentral.
AGCGGCAGCGGAAGUAGCUUGCUACUUUGCCGGCGAGCGGCGGACGGGUGAGUAAUGUCUGGGAAACUGCCUGAUGGAGGGGGAUAACUACUGGAAACGGUAGCUAAUACCGCAUAACGUCGCAAGACCAAAGAGGGGGACCUUCGGGCCUCUUGCCAUCAGAUGUGCCCAGAUGGGAUUAGCUAGUAGGUGGGGUAAUGGCUCACCUAGGCGACGAUCCCUAGCUGGUCUGAGAGGAUGACCAGCCACACUGGAACUGAGACACGGUCCAGACUCCUACGGGAGGCAGCAGUGGGGAAUAUUGCACAAUGGGCGCAAGCCUGAUGCAGCCAUGCCGCGUGUAUGAAGAAGGCCUUCGGGUUGUAAAGUACUUUCAGCGGGGAGGAAGGCGUUGAGGUUAAUAACCUCAGCGAUUGACGUUACCCGCAGAAGAAGCACCGGCUAACUCCGUGCCAGCAGCCGCGGUAAUACGGAGGGUGCAAGCGUUAAUCGGAAUUACUGGGCGUAAAGCGCACGCAGGCGGUCUGUCAAGUCGGAUGUGAAAUCCCCGGGCUCAACCUGGGAACUGCAUUCGAAACUGGCAGGCUAGAGUCUUGUAGAGGGGGGUAGAAUUCCAGGUGUAGCGGUGAAAUGCGUAGAGAUCUGGAGGAAUACCGGUGGCGAAGGCGGCCCCCUGGACAAAGACUGA